Ananas comosus (pineapple) is the source of this 552-nucleotide long non-coding RNA. RefSeq lists it as uncharacterized. NCBI's taxonomy places the organism in Eukaryota, Viridiplantae, Streptophyta, Magnoliopsida, Poales, Bromeliaceae. The record is from RefSeq and is a predicted model, not a curated record. The transcript is spliced from 2 exons.
UAAUAUUUAUUUGUUAAUGCAGUUUCAAUCAGCUGGACCUGCCGGAGUACACCUCCAAGGAACAGUUAGAAGAACGCUUGCUUCUCGCCAUCCAUGAAGCUAGCGAAGGUUUUGGAUUUGGCUAAGAAACUGUGCUCCCAGAAACUAGCUAGAGAGAGAGCAACCCGCGUUCUCUUUCAUGUACAGGUUUCAAAGGAGAUCAGAUAAGAGUUCAUAACGGAAGCCUAUGCAUCCGAAACGAUUCGAACGAAGUAAAUUGGCAAACCUACAAAUUUCCUGCUCUCUAACGUCGAGAACUCCCACGUGUCAGGACGCAUGUUUUGGACUCCGGGCAUUAGCAGAACCAACCGCUCGCUGUUUCUCUCUUUUCUCUUCAGCUAUCUUAUUAGUUAGCUUGAGGUUUUGAGAGUAAUGUAAAUGAAAAACGGACGGCCUUUUACUUGUUUUGUAUAUUUUUUUUCUUUGCCCUUUUAACUGCUGCAGAGAUUGUGAUUAGGGUGCAGCAUGUUUUGAAUUUGGCUGGUUAUAUAGUAAUUGUUCUCAUUUGGUUAA